CUGGGAGGGAGGACCUACGUGGAGGGGAGGAGGAGAAGGUGCCUGUGGGUUUUCUGCUGCCCGGAUUAGUGUGCCCUGUACCCAGACACACCAGCGCCACAGUUCAGGAGUAACCAUUCCUUCAACUCUUAAAAUCUGGGGAGGACAGAUCAUGACCAUCACAGCCUGCCUGAGACAGGUUAGUACUACAUAUAUAGGUCUGGUCUAAUUGGUCGGUGCAUACUGAUUUAGAAAUUUUUCUGGGAGUCAUUUAUUAUUCUUUCAUGAAAUAAGGGCUAUGAUUUAACAUUGAUUAAUAUGAUUGAUUAAUGUGAUUAACACAAUUUCAAAAAUCAUGUCAACAGCCCUUUGGACAGGGGAAAUCAGCUACUGUUCCCUUUCUACCCGACCUGGUUCAAGCUUUUCCUGCAAGAGCAGGUGGAUGUUCAUCACCCCAGCACACACACCAGCAGCCCUUUCCACAUCAGGCCAGGUCCAAGAGUAGUAAUUUCCACCUUCCUAUAACUGUAUUCUUUAGAGGUUGUUCUGCUCCCCGGGGCUACACAGAUAGAGCCUUAGUCUGGUGCCAGUCAUGUGUUUCCUUUACUUUGUCUCCUCCUUAAACCUCUCUUCAGUCUCUUCCCCAUUCAGGGAACAGAGUCCAGAUCCUUGAUUUUUGCUUGAAGAUGUGCAGAGAACAUUAAAAACGACCACAGAGAAUGGUGGCACCUGCCCUGUAGUCCCAGUUACUAGAGAGGCUGAAACAGGAGGAUCACUGGAGCCCAACCAUUCAAGGGCAACCUGGGCAACAUAGUGAGACCUCUCAAAAACAAGCAAAAGGCAAACAAAUAACCCAAAAA
This is a long non-coding RNA of Cavia porcellus (domestic guinea pig), 839 nucleotides long. RefSeq lists it as uncharacterized. The transcript is spliced from 2 exons. NCBI's taxonomy places the organism in Eukaryota, Metazoa, Chordata, Mammalia, Rodentia, Caviidae. The record is from RefSeq and is a predicted model, not a curated record.